This 624-nucleotide ribosomal RNA is filed under the name uncultured bacterium. RNAcentral describes it as "bacterial SSU rRNA". It matches the Rfam family "Bacterial small subunit ribosomal RNA", at positions 147 to 769 of the family's 1533-position model. The record is from RNAcentral.
CCUUUCGAAAGAAAGAUUAAUACCUGAUGGUAUGAUGAGAUUGCAUGAUAGCAUCAUUAAAGAUUUAUCGGUGUACGAUGGGGAUGCGUUCCAUUAGGUAGUAGGCGGGGUAACGGCCCACCUAGCCAACGAUGGAUAGGGGUUCUGAGAGGAAGGUCCCCCACAUUGGAACUGAGACACGGUCCAAACUCCUACGGGAGGCAGCAGUGAGGAAUAUUGGUCAAUGGACGAGAGUCUGAACCAGCCAAGUAGCGUGAAGGAUGAAGGUCCUACGGAUUGUAAACUUCUUUUAUAAGGGAAUAAACCCUCCCACGUGUGGGAGCUUGUAUGUACCUUAUGAAUAAGCAUCGGCUAACUCCGUGCCAGCAGCCGCGGUAAUACGGAGGAUGCGAGCGUUAUCCGGAUUUAUUGGGUUUAAAGGGAGCGCAGACGGGUCGUUAAGUCAGCUGUGAAAGUUUGGGGCUCAACCUUAAAAUUGCAGUUGAUACUGGCGUCCUUGAGUGCGGUUGAGGUGUGCGGAAUUCGUGGUGUAGCGGUGAAAUGCUUAGAUAUCACGAAGAACUCCGAUUGCGAAGGCAGCACACUAAUCCGUAACUGACGUUCAUGCUCGAAAGUGUGGGUAUC